RNAcentral lists this ribosomal RNA (564 nucleotides) under Webervanbossea sp. 1TAS. RNAcentral's name for it is "eukaryotic LSU rRNA". It matches the Rfam family "Eukaryotic large subunit ribosomal RNA", at positions 364 to 1006 of the family's 3401-position model. Lineage: Eukaryota; Rhodophyta; Florideophyceae; Rhodymeniales; Faucheaceae. The record is from RNAcentral.
AUCAAAAGCACUUUGAAAAGAGGGUGAAAAGAACCUGAAACCGUUACGAGGGAAGCGUAUUGCGUUGAAUUGGUGGCUAUAAUUGUGUUCAGCCGAAACGGUGUAUUCACAAUUUGGUUAUCCGUCGUGCCUUUCUCGCGUCUGAUUUUGAGCCGCGGGAGAGGGAGGGAUCCCCUGAAAGGGUAAUGAGGACGAUGGAGUGACAACGCGAUGCGACCCGUCUUGAAACACGGACCAAGGAGUCUAACACAGUUGCGAGUCGAAGGGUGGCAAAACCUGUAGGCAUAGUGAAAGCGAACUUUCCAGAACUGGCAGUUUGUGGCGGCAUAAAAUCGUUGAUUUUAGGUCCGACCUAGAGCAGUUGUGUUAGGACCCGAAAGAUGGUGAACUAUGCUUGAGUAGGGCGAAGCCAGAAGAAAUUCUGGUGGAGGCCCGAAGCGGUGCUGACGUGCAAAUCGCUCGUCGAACUCGAGUAUAGGGGCGAAAGACUAAUCGAACCAUCUAGUAGCUGGUUCCCUCCGAAGUUUCUCUCAGGAUAGCGGGCCGACACUUAUUGUUUUGUGC